RNAcentral lists this ribosomal RNA (508 nucleotides) under Ilybius apicalis. RNAcentral describes it as "partial 16S ribosomal RNA". It matches the Rfam family "Bacterial large subunit ribosomal RNA", at positions 1825 to 2596 of the family's 2925-position model. Lineage: Eukaryota; Metazoa; Arthropoda; Insecta; Coleoptera; Dytiscidae. The record is from RNAcentral.
GUCCUUUUGAGAUUAAUUUAAGGUUUGACCUGCCCACUGAUUUAUUGAAGGGCCGCAGUAUUUUGACUGUGCAAAGGUAGCAUAAUCAUUAGUUUUUUAAUUGAAAGCUUGUAUGAAGGGUUGGACGAGGUAAAUUCUGUCUCUAAUUAAUUUAAUAUAGAAUUUAAUUUUUAAGUUAAAAAGCUUAAAUUAUAUUAAAAGACGAGAAGACCCUAUAGAUCUUUAUAUUUUAUUGAUUAAUUUUAUUUAAGAUUGUUAAAUUUUUUAUUUAAUAAAAUAUUUUAUUGGGGUAAUAGAAAGAUUUAAAUAAUUCUUUUUUAAAGUUUACAAUUAUAAAUGAUUUUAUGAUCCAAUAUUAUUGAUUAUAAGAUUAAGUUACCUUAGGGAUAACAGCGUAAUUUUUUUUGAGAGUUCAUAUCGAUAAAAAAGCUUGCGACCUCGAUGUUGGAUUAAAAAUUAUUUUAGGUGUAGAAGCUUAAAUUUUUGGUCUGUUCGACCAUUAAAUUUU